Pongo pygmaeus (Bornean orangutan) is the source of this 838-nucleotide long non-coding RNA. RefSeq lists it as uncharacterized. The record is from RefSeq and is a predicted model, not a curated record. NCBI's taxonomy places the organism in Eukaryota, Metazoa, Chordata, Mammalia, Primates, Hominidae. The transcript has 2 exons.
UCGUUGUCGAGCCACUUAGCGGAGAAAGGGGGAGGGAGGCGGAGGGAUAUCCGCCCUGCACGGUGCUCGGUGUGCGUGCGCGCGCUCCAAACUCUUGGCACGCCGCGAAAGGGGGCGGGGGUGGGAGCUGCGAGGGGAGCUGCUAGGGAGGUUGCAUUGUUGUGGCGCGUUACUCCCCGUUACUCUGCUUGGAAUAUCCGGGUUGCUUGAACGAAGAGGCUAGAAAGACAGUGUGCUCAGAGGGGAAAUCUGGAGGCCACUCUCUUCUGCCGUGUGUGUGUGUGUAUGUAUGUUUUCCUUGCAGAGCAAAGAAUGGAACUGGCAUGAGUUCAUCUUUAGUUAGUGGGGGUUAGAAGCAGGGACCGUGCAAAGAGAGCUCCUCCUGCUGUCCCCCUGGUUGCACUGCUGCAGUCCCCUAGCUGCAUGCACGACGUGUGUGUGUGUGUGAGAGAGAGAGAGGGAGAGAGAGAAUAUGAGAAUGUAUGUGUGUUAGUUUUAACACCUCGCCUCGCUGCCUGGAUUCUUACUGCGCAAGGGGUAUGCUGUCAGGGCAUUCAUCUCCGAAAGCUGGAGUGAUUGUUAAUGGAGAACGACUUCCAUUGAAGCCCAAGAUUUAUGCGACCUAAGAAUGAAGGUUGCCGCUGGUGCCACAUUAAAGAGAACAAUUCCCGAGGAAAAAAAGAAGUUGGGAGAACCUCGUUAACAAGGCAGCACUCCUCUUCUACCAUCCCUCUCCAGGAAUCGCAGGAUUGUUGUUCUGAGAAUGAGCGUGCACAGUAGAGCACUGUUAACAGUGUUUUGCAUGUAGCAGGUGCUUAAUAAAUGUUUGACGAAUGAA